UUAAAUUGAAGAGUUUGAUCAUGGCUCAGAUUGAACGCUGGCGGCAGGCCUAACACAUGCAAGUCGAACGGUAACAGAAAGCAGCUUGCUGCUUUGCUGACGAGUGGCGGACGGGUGAGUAAUGUCUGGGAAACUGCCUGAUGGAGGGGGAUAACUACUGGAAACGGUAGCUAAUACCGCAUAACGUCGCAAGACCAAAGAGGGGGACCUUCGGGCCUCUUGCCAUCGGAUGUGCCCAGAUGGGAUUAGCUAGUAGGUGGGGUAACGGCUCACCUAGGCGACGAUCCCUAGCUGGUCUGAGAGGAUGACCAGCCACACUGGAACUGAGACACGGUCCAGACUCCUACGGGAGGCAGCAGUGGGGAAUAUUGCACAAUGGGCGCAAGUCUGAUGCA
Molecule: ribosomal RNA, 395 nt
Filed under: Escherichia coli
Lineage: Bacteria; Pseudomonadati; Pseudomonadota; Gammaproteobacteria; Enterobacterales; Enterobacteriaceae
Description: bacterial SSU rRNA
Rfam family: Bacterial small subunit ribosomal RNA
Source: RNAcentral